ACGCUGGCGGCGUGCUUAACACAUGCAAGUCGAACGGAAAGGCCCUGCUUUUGUGGGGUGCUCGAGUGGCGAACGGGUGAGUAACACGUGAGUAACCUGCCCUUGACUUUGGGAUAACUUCAGGAAACUGGGGCUAAUACCGGAUAGGAGCUCCUGCUGCAUGGUGGGGGUUGGAAAGUUUCGGCGGUUGGGGAUGGACUCGCGGCUUAUCAGCUUGUUGGUGGGGUAGUGGCUUACCAAGGCUUUGACGGGUAGCCGGCCUGAGAGGGUGACCGGCCACAUUGGGACUGAGAUACGGCCCAGACUCCUACGGGAGGCAGCAGUGGGGAAUAUUGCACAAUGGGCGGAAGCCUGAUGCAGCAACGCCGCGUGCGGGAUGACGGCCUUCGGGUUGUAAACCGCUUUCGCCUGUGACGAAGCGUGAGUGACGGUAAUGGGUAAAGAAGCACCGGCUAACUACGUGCCAGCAGCCGCGGUGAUACGUAGGGUGCGAGCGUUGUCCGGAUUUAUUGGGCGUAAAGGGCUCGUAGGUGGUUGAUCGCGUCGGAAGUGUAAUCUUGGGGCUUAACCCUGAGCGUGCUUUCGAUACGGGUUGACUUGAGGAAGGUAGGGGAGAAUGGAAUUCCUGGUGGAGCGGUGGAAUGCGCAGAUAUCAGGAGGAACACCAGUGGCGAAGGCGGUUCUCUGGGCCUUUCCUGACGCUGAGGAGCGAAAGCGUGGGGAGCGAACAGGCUUAGAUACCCUGGUAGUCCACGCUGUAAACGGUGGGUACUAGGUGUGGGGUCCAUUCCACGGGUUCCGUGCCGUAGCUAACGCUUUAAGUACCCCGCCUGGGGAGUACGGCCGCAAGGCUAAAACUCAAAGGAAUUGACGGGGCCCCGCACAAGCGGCGGAGCAUGCGGAUUAAUUCGAUGCAACGCGUAGAACCUUACCUGGGUUUGACAUGGAUCGGGAGUGCUCAGAGAUGGGUGUGCCUCUUUUGGGGUCGGUUCACAGGUGGUGCAUGGCUGUCGUCAGCUCGUGUCGUGAGAUGUUGGGUUAAGUCCCGCAACGAGCGCAACCCUUGUUCACUGUUGCCAGCACGUUAUGGUGGGGACUCAGUGGAGACCGCCGGGGUCAACUCGGAGGAAGGUGGGGAUGACGUCAAGUCAUCAUGCCCCUUAUGUCCAGGGCUUCACGCAUGCUACAAUGGCUGGUACAGAGAGUGGCGAGCCUGUGAGGGUGAGCGAAUCUCGGAAAGCCGGUCUCAGUUCGGAUUGGGGUCUGCAACUCGACCUCAUGAAGUCGGAGUCGCUAGUAAUCGCAGAUCAGCAACGCUGCGGUGAAUACGUUCCCGGGGCUUGUACACACCGCCCGUCAAGUCAUGAAAGUUGGUAACACCCGAAGCCGGUGGCCUAACCGUUGUGGGGGAGCCGUCGAAGGUGGGACUGGA
This 1432-nucleotide ribosomal RNA is filed under the name uncultured organism. RNAcentral's name for it is "partial small subunit ribosomal RNA". It matches the Rfam family "Bacterial small subunit ribosomal RNA". The record is from RNAcentral.